RNAcentral lists this ribosomal RNA (216 nucleotides) under uncultured bacterium. RNAcentral's name for it is "partial 16S ribosomal RNA". It matches the Rfam family "Bacterial small subunit ribosomal RNA", at positions 57 to 305 of the family's 1533-position model. The record is from RNAcentral.
GCAAGUCGAAUGGGUUUAGACCCAUGGCAGACGAGGUAGGAACACGUAGGUACAUACCCCAAAGUCACGGAUAACCCGGCGAAAGUCGGAAUAAUACGUGAUAGUCUCUUCGGAGUAAAGAUUUAUCGCUUUGGGAAUGGCCUGCGGGCUAUCAGCUUGUUGGUAAGGUAACGGCUUACCAAGGCUACGACGGAUAGGGGAGCUGAGAGGCUGACC